This 439-nucleotide ribosomal RNA is filed under the name uncultured Trichococcus sp. RNAcentral's name for it is "bacterial SSU rRNA". It matches the Rfam family "Bacterial small subunit ribosomal RNA", at positions 358 to 789 of the family's 1533-position model. Lineage: Bacteria; Bacillati; Bacillota; Bacilli; Lactobacillales; Carnobacteriaceae. The record is from RNAcentral.
GGAAUCUUCCGCAAUGGACGAAAGUCUGACGGAGCAACGCCGCGUGAGUGAAGAAGGUUUUCGGAUCGUAAAACUCUGUUGUCAGAGAAGAACAAGUUGGAGAGUAACUGCUCCAGCCUUGACGGUAUCUGACCAGAAAGCCACGGCUAACUACGUGCCAGCAGCCGCGGUAAUACGUAGGUGGCAAGCGUUGUCCGGAUUUAUUGGGCGUAAAGCGAGCGCAGGCGGUUCCUUAAGUCUGAUGUGAAAGCCCACGGCUCAACCGUGGAAGGUCAUUGGAAACUGGGGAACUUGAGUGCAGAAGAGGAGAGUGGAAUUCCAUGUGUAGCGGUGAAAUGCGUAGAUAUAUGGAGGAACACCAGUGGCGAAGGCGACUCUCUGGUCUGUAACUGACGCUGGGGCUCGAAAGCGUGGGGAGCAAACAGGAUUAGAUACCCUG